GCAAUACUGGUCUGAACGGUUUGUUUUGAUUCCUCUGAAUCAGCAAAUGAUGAGUUAUUGCAAUGUUGUGUUUGCACGCUCGUUCUUCGAGCAAGGUAGAUUCUACCAACUGUUUUGAACCCUAUCGUUCGAGACAUACUUCCUGUUUAAAGACUUGUCUGUCUAUUAUACCGCCAUUUUAUGGCGGUAUUUUUUUUA
This 198-nucleotide non-coding RNA is filed under the name Vibrio sp. qd031. RNAcentral describes it as "GcvB RNA". It matches the Rfam family "GcvB RNA". Rfam says of the family: The gcvB gene encodes a small untranslated RNA involved in expression of the dipeptide and oligopeptide transport systems in Escherichia coli. Included several unknown homologues in alignment (Bateman A pers obs). The record is from Rfam by way of RNAcentral. Lineage: Bacteria; Pseudomonadati; Pseudomonadota; Gammaproteobacteria; Vibrionales; Vibrionaceae.